RNAcentral lists this ribosomal RNA (632 nucleotides) under uncultured euryarchaeote. RNAcentral's name for it is "bacterial SSU rRNA". It matches the Rfam family "Archaeal small subunit ribosomal RNA", at positions 339 to 868 of the family's 1478-position model. The record is from RNAcentral. Lineage: Archaea; Methanobacteriati; Methanobacteriota.
GCGCGAAAACUUUACACUACACGAAAGUGUGAUAAGGGGGUCCCAAGUGCCAAUACACUGUAUUGGCUUUUUUCAAGAGUAAAGACCUUGGAGAAUAAGUGGUGGGAAAGACUGGUGCCAGCAGCCGCGGUAAUACCAGCGCCACAAGUGGGGGCCAUGAUUAUUGGGUCCAAAGCGUUCGUAGCAGGUCAUGUAAAUCUUUUGUGAAAUCGUUGGGCUUAACCUAACGGCGGGCAGGAGACACUGCUUGACUUGAGACCGGGAGGGGUUAGAAGUAUUCCUGGGGGAGCGGUAAAAUGCUAUAAUCCCAGGAGGACUACCUGUGGCGAAGGCGUCUAACCAGAACGGGUCUGACUGUGAGGAACGAAAGCCAGGGGAGCAAACCGGAUUAGAUACGAGUUAUCGUCUGAUUUCUGAAAAUAAUUUGUUAGAUUUGCUAAUAAACUACAAUGACAAAUUAAUGAAAGAAACAUUUUGAAUGAUGAUUAUCUCGCUAAUUACCCGAGUAGUCCUGGCUGUAAACGCUGUGAGCAAGGUGUCGCGUAUUCUACGGAAUACGCGGUGUCGAAACGAAGGUGUUAAGCUCACCACCUGGGAAGUACGGUCGCAAGAUUGAAACUUAAAGGAAUUGG